Condylura cristata (star-nosed mole) is the source of this 441-nucleotide long non-coding RNA. RefSeq lists it as uncharacterized. The record is from RefSeq and is a predicted model, not a curated record. Lineage: Eukaryota; Metazoa; Chordata; Mammalia; Eulipotyphla; Talpidae. The transcript has 2 exons.
GCCAGGGCAAUGUGCUCCGCGGAAGUAAACACUCUACAGAACCCAUUUCCUAAAGGGAGCCUCAGCCUCAGCUCUCUGAAGGGGAGGAAUCUGCAGUGGUGGUCGCCAGACCGGGAGCCGCGGAGCAUGCUGGCAGUUUUAAGGGAAUCAAUUUCCAGAUCCUCAAAUUCUGUAUUUUCUCAAACUGCCUGAGAACGUGACUGAAUUCACAACGCCCUUCCCCAUGCACAGAGGUGCGGCCCCCCGCCCUGCCGCACUGGCUGCAGGUUUUCACUGGGGCACAGAGACCGCCUUGCGAGGGGAGACAAACCCUUCCAGGGUCACCGGCCCUGCCGCCUCCCGGCCCCUGAGUGGGGUGUUCUGAAUUUUGAACUGAAGUGUGUUCAUGACACAUGCAAUUUUUAAAAGUGUAAAUGGGACUUUUCCAGAAUUAAAAAAAAA